GACGAACGCUGGCGGCGUGCUUAACACAUGCAAGUCGAACGGAAAGGCCCUGCUUUUGUGGGGUGCUCGAGUGGCGAACGGGUGAGUAACACGUGAGUAACCUGCCCUUGACUUUGGGAUAACUUCAGGAAACUGGGGCUAAUACCGGAUAGGAGCUCCUGCUGCAUGGUGGGGGUUGGAAAGUUUCGGCGGUUGGGGAUGGACUCGCGGCUUAUCAGCUUGUUGGUGGGGUAGUGGCUUACCAAGGCUUUGACGGGUAGCCGGCCUGUGAGGGUGACAGGGAAAAAUGGGACUGAGAUAAGGACCAGAAUACAACGGGAGGAAGCAGUGGGGAAUAUUGCACAAUGGGAGGAAGCCUGAUGCAGAAACGCCGCGUGCGGGAUGAAGGCCUUCGGGUUGUAAACCGAUUUCGCCUGAGACGAAGAGUGAGUGACGGUAAUGGGUAAAGAAGCACCGGCUAACUACGUG
Molecule: ribosomal RNA, 468 nt
Filed under: uncultured bacterium
Lineage: Bacteria
Description: partial 16S ribosomal RNA
Rfam family: Bacterial small subunit ribosomal RNA
Source: RNAcentral